GGAAAUUAUGCUUUCAGGAAAAGGUUAAGUGGAAAUGUGAUGUCUGUAUGUAUUUCUUACAUGCAUUAUAUUUUAAAAACUUUGAAGCAUGACUCUUUCAUGAUUUAUUUAUGUAAAUGCUGUCAUUUUUCAGUAAACAAAAACUUAAAAUAUUUCGUGUCUUAAUGUUAUUGUGCAUUUGGGUGUACAGGCACUGUUAUAUGAGUAGUUAAACGAGAAAUUAUGGUGGCACAAAAUAAAACGUGGCAAGUUUUUAAGCGGAUAAAAAAUGAGAACUAUAUUGUAUGGUGGAACGGCACUUAGUUUGCAGCACUUUGACCUUGUGUGAAGUAAUAUUGAUGGAAGUUUGAGCGAGUAGUCAGGAGUAAUAAUGUUUCUGUGUGCGAGGUCAAAGUGCUGCAAACAAAAAAAGUCUUGCCAGUGCUAUAGCUUCAGCUGGUUUGGGGAGUUUAUUUUAAAGGACUACAUGAGUGAAGAUCAGUUGCAGAUGACGUAUGUGGAAGAUAAUACUUAUACUAAACAAAACGUCUUCCUGGUGGGUGGCGUCACAAUGGGUGGUUUCAGCUUAACUUUCUCUUUAUAGUUUCUCAGCUGGUAUAUGAAUACACAUCUCUGUGUGGAUCUUCAUAUUCUUCAGGCACAUUUUGAUGUUAAACUGGACUGUUGUGUUCAUACAUCAAACUUGGGAUCUUAUAGCAACUGCACCAGAAAACAAUGGAGUUUGACUGUAAUAAGGACAUCUCCAGAACUCAUCCACAGACAAAUGUCAGUGCUGUGGCGCAGAAUAGAAGCAAUAUUACAGGACCUUUUUUUAUUAAUUGCACAAUAACCAGCAAUGUUCCCAUAACACAUAAUGCUUCUG
Molecule: non-coding RNA, 862 nt
Organism: Misgurnus anguillicaudatus (oriental weatherfish)
Lineage: Eukaryota; Metazoa; Chordata; Actinopteri; Cypriniformes; Cobitidae
Source: RefSeq, a predicted model, not a curated record